RNAcentral lists this ribosomal RNA (438 nucleotides) under uncultured bacterium. RNAcentral's name for it is "bacterial SSU rRNA". It matches the Rfam family "Bacterial small subunit ribosomal RNA", at positions 958 to 1398 of the family's 1533-position model. The record is from RNAcentral.
AACGCGAAGAACCUUACCUGGGCUCGAAGCACAGUGGACCGGGGUAGAAAUAUCCCUUUUCGCAAGAACUGCUGUGGAGGUGCUGCAUGGCUGUCGUCAGCUCGUGUCGUGAGAUGUUGGGUUAAGUCCCGCAACGAGCGCAACCCUUAUCGUUAGUUGCCAGCGGGUCAAGCCGGGCACUCUAGCGAAACCGCCUCGGAUAACGGGGAGGAAGGUGGGGACGACGUCAAGUCAUCAUGCCCCUUAUGUCCUGGGCUACACACGUGUUACAAUGGCUGGGACAAUGUGAUGCAAUCUCGCGAGAGUGAGCGAAUCACCAAACCCAGUCUCAGUUCGGAUCGUAGGCUGCAACUCGCCUGCGUGAAGUCGGAAUCGCUAGUAACCGCCAAUCAGCACGUGGCGGUGAAUACGUUCCCGGGCCUUGUACACACCGCUGUA